RNAcentral lists this small nuclear RNA (104 nucleotides) under Propithecus coquereli (Coquerel's sifaka). The record is from RNAcentral. Lineage: Eukaryota; Metazoa; Chordata; Mammalia; Primates; Indriidae.
GUGCUUACUUCAGCAGCACAUAUACUAAAAUUGGAAUGAUACAGAGAUUAGCAUGGCCCCUGCGCACCGAUGACACACAGAUUCGUGAAGCUUUCCAUAUUUAA